AACAGAUCCUCACUUGCUGGACGGCUGGCGAUGAUCUUUAUCGAUUGUCGUCAGUUGCCAGAACGUUUACUUUGAGAAAAUUAGAGUGCUAAAAGCAGGCUCACGCCUAUAUAUAUUGCAUGGAAUAAUGAAAUAAGAUCUCGGUUUUAUUUCGUUGGUUUUAGAAAUUGAGAUAAUGAUUAAUAGGAUCAGAGGGGGGCGUACGUACUGUGGUGUGAGAGGUGAAAUUCUUGGAUCGCCACAGGACGAACAGCAGCGAAGGCGUUCGCCAAGAAUGUUUUCAUUAAUCAAGAACGAAAGUUUGAGGUUCGAAGACGAUUAGAUACCGUCCUAGUUCAAACCAUAAACGUUGCCAACUGUCUUUUAGAUGCGGUUACUCAUAUGACUCAUCUGGCGGAUCUCGAGAAAUCUAAGUUUUUAGGUUCCGGGGGAAGUAUGGUUGCAAAGCUGAAACUUAAAAGAAUUGACGGAAGGACACACAAGAAGUGGAGCCUGUGGCCUAAUUUGACUCACACGGGAAACCUUACUCGGCCAGGACACUUUUAGGAUUGACAGAUUGAGAGCUCUUUCUUGAUUAGGUGG
Molecule: ribosomal RNA, 582 nt
Filed under: Philodina roseola
Lineage: Eukaryota; Metazoa; Rotifera; Eurotatoria; Philodinida; Philodinidae
Description: SSU rRNA
Rfam family: Eukaryotic small subunit ribosomal RNA
Source: RNAcentral